AUUGUAUUAGCUUAUGGAGCACAUAGAUUGCUGCGGUUGUGAAAGGUUCAAAGUCCACACAGUAUCAAGUACAAUGGUACAAUUCAAGGUCUCAAGUACAAUGGUGCUUAAGUUGUGCUGUUCUGGUGCCAUCUACCUACUCUUUGUAAUUUUCAGACCAUCUCUCUGGUGCAUGAUCACUGUUUUGUCCUGAAAUUGGGGAAUUUUGUGGGCUUACCGUCAACAGACCGGGGAUGCUGGUGCACACAGUUGUUGAGCAUCCUAGCUCAACUUUGGGUUCUGCAAAAGUUGGUAACAGUGAUUGUUCAAAGAAAGAAGAACUGGUCUUACCAACUGAUAGCAAACAUGAUUCUGCAAAGUUUUCUGAAGAUAGUUCCCAGGAAGUGAGAAAGUGCUCUGAACUGCGGGCAUCUGAUUUGGCUGCUCCAUUGAGUGAUGAACAGCUUGCAUUACUGUUGCAUCAACAAUUAAACAGCUCCCCCAGAGUACCGAGGGUGCCACGUUGCCAUCAAGCAGCUGGUACGCAGAUGCUUCAUCCAACUGGAGCUACUUCUAAGCGG
Long non-coding RNA from Panicum hallii, 560 nucleotides. RefSeq lists it as uncharacterized. The record is from RefSeq and is a predicted model, not a curated record. NCBI's taxonomy places the organism in Eukaryota, Viridiplantae, Streptophyta, Magnoliopsida, Poales, Poaceae. The transcript is spliced from 6 exons.